CUUUUUGUAUAAAAUUAAAUUAAUUAAUAAAUUUUUAUAUAAAACAAUCAAAAUAGAAAAACAUUUUCGCAAAUUCUUCCACUAACUCCAUUCUUCUUCCUUUCAGUAUGAUAUUCAUCUACAUGUAGUGUACCUUGUAUCACAAUAACCACCAUAACGAACGUUUGAGCAAUAGUCAAAACGGUAUCUGAUGAGCCCGGCAGUUGUUCCGCUCUCAUUUCUAGUCGAUUGCCGUAUUACGUUAAUGUGGAUCAGUCACGUUGCAGGAUUAGACGAUGCACGAUGUAAAUUCAAGCUAAUCAAAACAAUGUGUUAAAGAUUACCAAAUUUGGUGUAUUGCUACAAUCGAGAUCCAGUGUAUCAAUACCAAGAAGGUUAACUGAUAAACUUAAGCGUAAUGUCAAAAAAUACAAGCAAGCAAUUGUGAUAAGCACAGUUUGGUGUUGUGUUUCACAGUUCGCUGUUGUGAAUUCUCUAGUUACACAUAAGUCAAGUCGUUGAGGCAUUGACUACAAAACAUUAUAAACUUGUUAGCUUGAUGUCAAGGAAGCCACAACAUUAAGUGACUUUCGUUGCACUUUGGUUGAUCAACAUGUGUUUUAUGGAGUUGAUAGUAGAUCUAACAAUUUCAGACCCAUUAUCAACUAG
Non-coding RNA from Schizosaccharomyces pombe (fission yeast), 648 nucleotides. NCBI's taxonomy places the organism in Eukaryota, Fungi, Ascomycota, Schizosaccharomycetes, Schizosaccharomycetales, Schizosaccharomycetaceae. The record is from the annotation of a GenBank genome assembly.